GCGUAUUCACUUUUUGCUCAACUCUGCCUAUCCAAUCUGGGAGCACUCUCCAGUGACUUGAAGAAAGGAAAGUGCCACCUGACUGGAUGAGUUUGGUUGGGAUGAUAUGC
Molecule: non-coding RNA, 110 nt
Organism: Ornithorhynchus anatinus (platypus)
Lineage: Eukaryota; Metazoa; Chordata; Mammalia; Monotremata; Ornithorhynchidae
Product: microRNA mir-1420b
Exons: 1
Source: RefSeq, marked provisional